CGGGACGGGUGAGUAAUGUCUGGGAAACGGCCCGAUGGAGGGGGAUAACUACUGGAAACGGUAGCUAAUACCGCAUAACGUCGCAAGACCAAAGAGGGGGACCUUAGGGCCUCUUGCCAUCGGAUGUGCCCAGAUGGGAUUAGCUAGUAGGUGGGGUAAUGGCUCACCUAGGCGACGAUCCCUAGCUGGUCUGAGAGGAUGACCAGCCACACUGGAACUGAGACACGGUCCAG
RNAcentral lists this ribosomal RNA (233 nucleotides) under uncultured bacterium. Its description in RNAcentral is "partial 16S ribosomal RNA". It matches the Rfam family "Bacterial small subunit ribosomal RNA", at positions 100 to 334 of the family's 1533-position model. The record is from RNAcentral.